This 2092-nucleotide long non-coding RNA is filed under the name Lathyrus oleraceus (garden pea). RNAcentral's name for it is "Pisum sativum (pea) long non-coding RNA (PSAT_LNC003245)". The record is from RNAcentral. Lineage: Eukaryota; Viridiplantae; Streptophyta; Magnoliopsida; Fabales; Fabaceae.
UGAUUUCUUUAGACACAAAUACAUAUAACUUCAAUAGUUUUCCUUUUAUAAGAGUAGCCAUGGUGGGAGGAUUCACCAUAUACCUUUUAAUUUCCUCAAACGUCUUCUAAUGUUCAUAGCUCCAUAGAAAUUAUUUUUCAUUUUUAAGAUUUAAUAAAGGUACGAACAACUCGGGCCUUUACAUUUUUCUUGAUUUUACCUCUACUCCUUUUUCUUGAAUUAAUAUUAUAAGAAUUUUCACCGGUCACUCCAAAAGCAUAUUUAAUUAGAUUUAUUUUUAAGUUAUAUUCUAGCUUUUUUAUUUGUGUCAAUAUUUUUUCUCUAUUUAAUGAUAUUUAUGAUUUAUGAGGUUCUCUCUUUGUCAACAUUAAAAUCUUUGACAUCCAUGUUCAACACAUAGAAUGAGAAUACAUUGAAUAUUCAUUCAUUAAACUUCAAAUUUUAUUCAUUCUCUAAUGAUGAAUCUAUUAACAUAUCAACAACAGACGAAUACUCAUAACAAGCAAAUAUUCAUAUUCAAGAGUAUUAACAUUCAAAUCUCUAAAAUUUAUACAUAUUUUUUAAGAACCAUUUUUCUUAAUAACUAUAUUAGAUACCCAAUCAAUAUACUAAAAAUUUUGAAUGAAUUUUUCUUCGAGCAGUAUCUAAGUUGCCGCUUUGAUAUUUGAAACUACUUCUGAUAAAAAACCUCCCUAGAAUUUGUCUGAUUGCUUUCCUUUCUAGUUUCAAGCAUACCGUUUAUUCUACUAAACUUCAUUCUACUAGACAAAUACUCAUAUUCAAGAGUAUCAACAUUCAUUGUCUUUAAUGAAUUGAAAUGAUCGGAUCAUGACGGUCACAAAUUAUUCAUCAAUUUGAUUCCUUCCAUGCAUCACGAAUCAAUCAAAUUCAAAUAAAUUUAAGGGAUACAAUAAUGUGUCUUUCAUGUCUUUAUAAAGACACCCUUGUCAUCACAUAUUAAUAGUAAUGUAUAAUAUGAAUGACAAAACUCGGCAAAAACAUAACCUUAAUUGAAUUCACAAGUGUCAUAUAAUACGAACAUUAAACUAUACAUGUAUAUAUACCAAUCAUAUUAUAAUUUUAACAAGGACUUUUACAUGAUGCACAUCCUUUUUACAUGUCCAACAAAUGUCUUGGACGAUAAACCUUUAGUUAACAAAUCUGUUAUCAUUAAAUAUGUACCAAUAUGUUCAAAUGACACUUUUUGUUUCUGCACUUCUUCUUUCACUAAUAAGUACUUCAAUUCCAUGUGUUUAGCACCUUUAGAAUAUUUAUCAUUCUUAGAGAAGAAGACAGUUGCAGAAUUAUCACAAUGAAUCUUUAGCGGCCUAUCUAUACUAUCGACAAUACCAAGUCCUAAGAUGAAGUUCCGCAACCACAAUGAUUGAAUUAUGGCCUCAAAGCAUGCCAUAAAUUCUGCCUCCAUAGUAGAGGUAGAAAUGAUGGACUGCUUUCCACUCUUCCAUGAUAUUGCUCCUCCAGCCAGAAGAAAAACAUAUCCAAAUGUUGAUUUUCUUGAGUCCACACAUCCUGUAAAGUCUAAAUCUGAGUAGCCAACCACUUCAAGUUGAUUUGAUCUUCUAUAAGUGAGCAUGUAAUCUUUGGUGCCUUGUAAGUACCUAAGAACUUUCUUUACAGCUUUCCAGUGAUCCAUUCUAGGAUUUCUUUGAUAUCGACCCAACAUACCAACGGCAAAACUGAUAUCCGAUCGAGUACAUGUUUGGGCAUACAUCAAGCUGCUAACUACUGAUGCAUAAGGAAUAUACUUCAUUUCUUUUCGUUUUAAUUCAUUUUUGGGACAUUGCAUUUGACUAAACUUGUCCCCUUUCUGAAUAAGAGCUAUCCCAAUAAAGCAUUUAUCCAUUCUAAAUCUCUCUAAUGUUUUAUUUAUAUAGCCUUUCUGAGACAAUCCCAAUAGUCCUUGUGAUUUAUCACAGAAUAUUUCUAUUCCUAUCACAUAUGAUGCCUCACCCAUAUCUUUCAUUUCAAAUGUAUUGGAUAGAAACUUCUUUACAUCAUGUAACAAAGAAAAAUCAUUGGCAGCAAGUAAAAUAUCAUCACCAUAUAAGAUUAAAUUAUGAAUUUUCUCCCA